AGUUUUGCAGAUUUGCAGUUCAGCGUAUAUGUGGAUAUAUGGCUGUGCAAAUCCAUGCAAAACUGA
Molecule: microRNA precursor, 66 nt
Filed under: Rattus norvegicus (Norway rat)
Lineage: Eukaryota; Metazoa; Chordata; Mammalia; Rodentia; Muridae
Description: Rno-Mir-19-P2c_pre stem-loop
Rfam family: mir-19 microRNA precursor family
About the family: The hairpin precursors (represented here) are predicted based on base pairing and cross-species conservation -- their extents are not known.
Source: RNAcentral